CUUAAAUUGUCGUUUUUCAGGUCGGACUUCUGCUAAUGCAACAUUCGAAGACUCAACAGCCAUCGUCUUACAUGCCGAAACUCCUAUUUCAGUUGCUCUGUGCUUGGUAAAUUAUGGAUAAUUUGUAACAGGUUGAACGGGAUAGGUUGGCUUUAAGCUCUUUUAAUUUGUAUGCAGUAGAGCCAACACUUGCCCACCGAAAAGCAGAAUUAGCAGCAAAAGUGAAAUCAAAAGGCCUCAUGGCUAUCAUGGGCUAAGCAAUUACUGGUUAACAACUCUUUGUUAUGUGUUAAAAUUAGGUAAGGCUCACUAUGACAAUGCUUUAUUGCAAAUGUAAGAACCUACUAAAUACAGAAACUUUAAAUGGAAAGGCAAGCUUCUUUCCUUUUUGAAAUCAUCUCUGCCCGAACGGUGGAAGAUGGGGCUUUGUACUGAACGAAACAUUUGUAAGUUACAGCGUUGUUAAGUCAUGCUGUGAUGACUCUUCUGGUUUAGCAUCUGCAAUGGAAAAGGGUUCCCUUUUUACGGCAGAAGAAACUGUAUAUAUGUACAAUAUCUAUUGCAUUCUUAAUAUUUCCAUUCUUUGGCAGCCAUUUUCAGAGUCCAAAACAAUUCCUCAGUAAGAGAAGUCAUCAGUAUUGAAUUGUGUUUACGCCGAAGUGAGCACCCUGUUAGAAUGUUCAAUUUGGGUGGCACUGGAUUUUUGAUUGUGAUGAUAAUUCAUCUCUUAUUUGUAAUAUGAUGUGCCAUUAACCGUUUAUGGGAUUUAUAUGGAAAAGGCAAUUGCAGAUGAUGAAUUGAGUUUGAGUUGAGCCAAACGCUCCGUCCUUAAUCCCAGCACAAAAGAAGCCUCUUUUUGUUUUUGAAAGAGCAACAGAAGUAGGAAGAAUGCAUGUAACAUUCAUUUCUUCUUGUUCAGUCUAUUUUUUUCAAUAUUUUAAUGUAUAAUGCUCAAUAAUGCACGACCUAUGAAAAUAGAGUGAAACAACAUUGGGCA
Molecule: long non-coding RNA, 997 nt
Organism: Neltuma alba
Lineage: Eukaryota; Viridiplantae; Streptophyta; Magnoliopsida; Fabales; Fabaceae
Exons: 2
Source: RefSeq, a predicted model, not a curated record